This 3189-nucleotide long non-coding RNA is filed under the name Coffea arabica (coffee). RNAcentral describes it as "long non-coding RNA (CARA_LNC007585)". Lineage: Eukaryota; Viridiplantae; Streptophyta; Magnoliopsida; Gentianales; Rubiaceae. The record is from RNAcentral.
AACUCUGGAUGAACAUCUGCAACCUGCUUUCCUCUAUCAACAACAUUUCUUUCUGUUACGAAAAGUAAUCUUGUCUAGAACCAUCUGCAAUUCCUUUACUAGGAAUAGUGAAGGUGCAAUUCUUGAUUCCACUGAAUGAUGAACACUCUUUGGACAUUAAAAGAGGCGCACUUUGAUGCAAAAAGAAAAUUCACUUUGGAUUUGGAAUAUUAGAAAGCUCAUUUUUCAUCCCUGGAAAUGAAGUUAAGAUUUGACAGAAAUUUUCUUUCUCAGCAAAAGAUGAAGAAAUCAGUCAGGUGAAAUUUAGCAUUUUGGUUGAUUAAAAUCAGUUGAAAGAAGAAGAAAAUAUGUAAUAAGCGACUAAAUUCUACAGCCUGGUCACCAACCAUGAGAAUUGUGCAUGGCUAAGUUGUUUAAAACAGUAGAAUUGACCUCUUCUUCUCUGUUGCAGGCAAAUUUAAUUGAUCCUUGUAUAAAGGGCACCUUGAAUGUGUUAACCUCUUGCAAGAAAGCAAGGAGCUGUAGAAGGGUGGUCCUAACAUCUUCGUGUUCUGCAAUAAGAUAUCGAGAUGAUGCUCAGCAAAUUUCUCCACUUAAUGAAUCUCAUUGGAGCGAUACAGAAUACUGCAAACGCUACAAUGUAACAAUGUUUCUAAGUGCAACUUAUAACUUUUCGUGUUGAAUCACAAUCUUAAAGCCUAAGCAGUUGACAUAUAUUUUGCAGCCAAAAAAUUUAUUUUAAUAUAAAAGGAUCUGGUUCUUAAUUAGUAACUGUAUUGGUGGAAUCUUCUUUCAGCUGUGGUAUGCCUAUGCAAAGACUAUAGCAGAGAAAGAGGCUUGGAAAUUUGCAGAAGAAAGUGGAAUUGAUCUAGUGGUGGUCAGCCCCUCUUUCGUAGUAGGUCCUUUGCUCGCACCCCAACCAACCAGUACGCUGCAAAUGAUAUUGGCCAUUGUAAAAGGUCAACACUUGAGUAGCUAAUCUGUUAUAUAAUGACAUUAGAAUGCUGUGUUCUAUCUGAUUUUGUGUGAAAUGGUGGCUUACAUUAUCAGCUAUGUCCGCUAAUCUAUAAAUGACUGAGUUCAAUUAUUGAUGCCAUUGAUCAGGUCUGAUUAAAGAACACCCGAAUACAACAGUAGGGUUUGUGCAUAUAGAUGAUGUCGUUGCAGCACAUAUAUUAGCAAUGGAGGAAAGCAAAGCAUCAGGCAGACUGGUAUGUUCAAGCUCAGUAGCUCACUGGUCCGAGAUCAUUGAGAUGCUAAGGAACAAGUAUCCAGCCUACAACUACAUAAACAGGCAAGAGAAACAUUUUAUACUUUUCUGUCCUGUUUUUCCUCUUAUGGAACUGGCAUUUGUUAUUUGUUUUGACUUUACUCUCUGAAUCAACCAGAUUUUUUCUAUUGGUGCCGUAGUGUCUCUGAACUUGACCUUCUUCUUAUAUAGUCUUGAGUGUUUUGUUUUCCAUGUUUAGGUGUAGCAACACAAAAGGAGAUGAUAAUCCACACAGCAUGGACAGCAAUAAAAUCAUACAGCUUGGGCUCCCACCGCUGAAAUCCCUUGAUCAAAUGUUUGAGGACUGCAUCAGAAGCUUCCAAGAGAAGGGCUUCCUCUAAGAUCAACCAAAUCUUCUGAAACGCCCUCUCAAUUCAAAGAUCCUAUCCGCUAGGAGUACAUGUACUGAUUUACCGACUGUUCUUGAAUCAUAUUGUCCUGCUAAAACAUAUUUUAACCAUUCAAAUAUAUCAGUAUGCCAAAUAAUGCUGGCCUGCGAAGCCAGGCUCUUGAUCAAAAUAUUGUGCACGACUCAAACUUCAAUCACGGCAGUGCUUGUUAAAUUCCCAUGCUAAAGUAAUCUUCAUUCAAAUAAGUAAUAUCUUGACUGAAAUAAAAUCACCAGACAUUCCAAAAAUUCAAUUCGGUAGUAAUAAAUGCUCUGCUAUUAAACCAAUUUAAAGAGGCGAGUGCCAUACACGAACAGUACAGACGUAAGAAACAGCAUAGGCCUUCGAUUCUUGCAAUAUCCAAAUGUCCUCCAACUUUUGCUGAAUUAGCCUAAUAAAAAACCACGAUUAUCAACAAUUGGUAGGGAAAAAAAAAUAUAAUCUGAAUAUUAAAGUAGGAUAAAAAAAAAACUUCCAGAGGACUGAGCAAUCCUUAAUACUUGUCACAUUUUAAGAUUCUCUUGAAUGAAUUAUUGCAGCAUGGAGGGUGGUACAUAAGCAAUCCUUCAUUACUUUCUUGACCAAAACGGGGCUUUUGCAGUAUUGAAGCUCAUGGAAUGCAAACCUCAAAACAGGCAUUUCUCAAUCUUCAUACAAGAGAGCAAAAUGAGUUCAACAUUUGUAAAUUGCUACUUGGAGAGGAUCGAUUGCAGGUUAUUCUAGCAGGCCCAAAUGGUGUAAGGCCGUUAAGCGCCCCGACUUAUCAAGGGGAGCCCGAUGAAGAGUCUCAAUUGAUGAAAAUUAGUGCUAAUUAAUUAGUUAGUGUACUAAUACCCCCGUCAGCAAUCUGCAGAAACACACACACACUCUCUCUACUUAAAGGGGGAUCCACGACCUAAUCCAAAAGGCAUGCUGACUUUCAGGUUACACCAAGGACCUUAAGUAGAACACACGCACCGAAGACCUUAAUUAGUUGGUGUACUAAUACCCAAAAACAAGAUAUUAUUCACCCUUUCCCAUCCUCAACUGCUAGACCCAAGAUUGGACCUCUACACCUAACAACGGGAAGAACUUUAAGAACUCUCUCCUGACCACCAAAAUAACCCUAGUGAUUUUAUUAAAAUACAAGUUUAAUUACUCCUAAAGUAUAUAUAAAUCUCUCAGACUUAAACGGUAGUAGACUUCCUCGUAUAGCUUUUUAUAUGCUAAUAUUUAGGACAUGAUACUAUUUUUUUUUUUUUCUUUUCUAAGUUGUUGUUUUGUUAGGAGGAAGGGGAUGACUUAGAUGAUUUGGAGGGAGGAAUUAUAAGUGUAAGGUCUUGGAUUUAAGACCUUUCACUUAAACUAAAAAAAAAAAAAAGAGUAGGGAUUUACAAUUUUCUCUUUGAGUUUGAGGAAGCCGGGGGGGUUUCGGCUUUUGACCAUCUCCAUCACUGGCUAACAACUAGACGCAGAUGGACGCAUCUUAUCACAGAAUCAUAUUAGCGACUCAAUUAAGUGAAACUCAAAACUGAGAGAAUUCAUAUAUAU